This 357-nucleotide ribosomal RNA is filed under the name Triticum aestivum (bread wheat). RNAcentral describes it as "partial small subunit ribosomal RNA". The record is from RNAcentral. Lineage: Eukaryota; Viridiplantae; Streptophyta; Magnoliopsida; Poales; Poaceae.
AUGCUGUGGCAGCACUCAGGUUCAAUCAUGUGUUGUUCCCUGCAGGUCGGUUGCGUGCUUGCUCAUUUUGUCACGUCACAUAUAUUCAUGCUAUCAUUGUGUGUGCCAAACAAAAGAAAUGUUUGGCUAGCAACAAUUUUAUGCUGCUCCUGUGUUCAGCUUCGCCAAUCAGGCCGGCCUCGACAUGCCGGAGGCGACGCUGAUCGCUCUCCAGGUUCCCAAAGAACAUGCAGCAGGUACUUAGCCAAUCACCAUUCUUCAGAACGGGAGACUCGCCCCCUGCUGUUUGUAACAAGACUGAAAGUCUGGAACUCUUGUUGUGUUCAGGGUUUUGCUUACCUCCCUGGCGGCGUGUAA